This 528-nucleotide ribosomal RNA is filed under the name Poecilotylus albitarsis. RNAcentral's name for it is "partial 12S ribosomal RNA". Lineage: Eukaryota; Metazoa; Arthropoda; Insecta; Diptera; Micropezidae. The record is from RNAcentral.
CCAGCAGUCGCGGUUAGACGAAUAAUACGAGUAAAUUUUAUUAGAUUGAGUUAAAUAUAUUUUAUUUAUUAUAAAUUAAUUUAUUAGGUGAAAUUUUAAAUGUAUUUAUGUAAUUGUUUGUUUAAUUGAAGCUUUAAAAUUUUAGAAAAAAACUAGGAUUAGAUACCCUAUUAUUUAAAAUAAAAAUUUUUUUCUUAGGUAGUAUUAGUUAUGAUCUUGAAACUUAAAAAAUUUGGCGGUAUUUUAGUCUAUCCAGAGGAACCUGUUCUGUAAUCGAUAAUCCACGUUGGACCUUACUUAAUAAUGUUUUCAGCUUAUAUACCGUCGUUAUUCGAAUAUUUUAAUAGAAUAAUAAUUUUCUUAAAUUUUUAUUUAAACUUAUAUCAGAUCAAGGUGUAGCUAAUGAUUAAGUAGAAAUGGGUUACAAUAAAUUUAUUUAAACGAAUUUUAAUAUGAAAAAUUUUAUGAAGGUGGAUUUGGUAGUAAAAUUAUAUAGAUUAUUAAUUUGAUUUUAGCUCUAAAAUAUGC